GACAGUCGCGCGGCGAAGCCGAAAGGCUCGCUGUGAGGAAAGUCCGGGCUCCACAGGGCAAGGAUAACGGGUAACGCCCGCCCAGAGCGAUCUGAGGAAAAGUGCAACAGAAAUAGACUACCUGCGCACUUUGUCUUUCCGGGUUUGCAGCCAAAGCGCAAGCGGUCUCACCGCUUACGCCUGUUCCUCCGGCGUGAUGGAGGCAGAACGUGCAGACUGGGAAAGGCAAAGUGCUGCGGGAAAAGGUGGAAAGGUGCGGUAAGAGCGCACCCGUCGGCUCGAGAGUGUCCGAUGCUGUAAACUCUAUCCGGAGCAACACCGGUAUGGGAGCAAUAGGCUUGCCCGGCCGCUCCCGGGGUGGCUAAAGCGCCGCGGCAACACGGCGCGUAGAUAGAUGACUGUCAAAUACAGAACCCGGCUUACAGUUAUGCUCG
RNAcentral lists this RNase P RNA (434 nucleotides) under pig gut metagenome. RNAcentral describes it as "Bacterial RNase P class A". It matches the Rfam family "Bacterial RNase P class A". From Rfam's summary of the family: Ribonuclease P (RNase P) is a ubiquitous endoribonuclease, found in archaea, bacteria and eukarya as well as chloroplasts and mitochondria. Its best characterised activity is the generation of mature 5'-ends of tRNAs by cleaving the 5'-leader elements of precursor-tRNAs. The record is from RNAcentral.